CCUGAGAAACCCAAAAGAUCGAAUGGGGAGAUUCAUCGUCAGCUCAUUUUGUAUAUGUAUAAGUUAUGAUGUGGGUUACUACUUGUAGUAUUGCCUGUACAUUCUUGUAUAUUUAUUUGCAAGAUGUUGUCGGCGUGCACUUCUCCCCUAGUAGGACGUCGCGACCUGUUGGGUGUCGGUCUACGGCCCAAGUGAUAGCCUUUAAUGUAAUUUAAAAAACAUUGAAGAUCCUUGGUGUUUUCUGACCGGCUACUUGGCAGUAUUCGUACGGUAUUUAGCCGCUAAAUUUAUUAAGCGUCCAUAUCCAUUACAAGCGAGGCCAAUUUACUGAUAGUACGGACCUAGUGCCGUCGUUGGUAUUGGCCAGCUGUUGGUUGAUGGUAUUCUAGGACUGGCUAAAAUUAAUUACCGGUCGGCGAUGCUACUGCUUUGGGUACUUUCAG
Molecule: ribosomal RNA, 443 nt
Filed under: Aleiodes rectanguliguttatus
Lineage: Eukaryota; Metazoa; Arthropoda; Insecta; Hymenoptera; Braconidae
Description: LSU rRNA
Source: RNAcentral